AUGAAUACAGUACUCUAGGUGGGAAAUGCCAAUGCUGCCUUUUCCCUUUUCUCUUGGGUGGGGCAGGAGGACGCCCUGCACUGCUUCUUCCAGCCCAGGGAGUUUUCAAGCAAAAGUAAGUGCUUCUGUGAGAACUGCAGGAAGAAGACACAUGGGAAACAGGUCUUGAAGCUGACCCAUUUGCCUCAGACCCUGACAAUCCACCUCAUGCCAUUCCCCAUCAGGAAUUCACAGCCUGGAGGGCAGUAUGAGCUCUUCACUGUAAUUACACAUGUGGGAAUGGUGGACUCCAGUCAUUACUGUGCCUACAUCCGGAAUGCCGUGGACGGAAAAUGGUUCUGCUUCAAUGACUCCAAUAUUGCCUCAGUGAGAAUCAUCAUCCACAGUUGCUUCCUGCCUGGGAUUGGCCACCUCUAACAAAUGCUGGGAUCCAGACUGCGUGGAUCUCUGAGAUCAACACACCGUGAUCUCGCUGUCUGGGUGUGGUGUUGUUUAUGAGAGUUAAAGCCUUUUUCAGCCUGAAGUCCCCACGUGGUUUGCACCUCUCCUCACUUCCCUUCACUUCUUAAGUUUUUGGUGCUUGAGGCUCAUGCCUUGUGGCUUCAUGCUUUGUGGGAAAUGUUUACAGAGCAAGUAGAGUUAGAAACGUGUAAGUUAGGCCUCUGGGAUAAGCAUGACUGAGUUUAAGCACAGGGACAAAGGUGCUAAAAAACUUCAUUGCACAUGACAUCCUGCCACUGAUACUCCAGGCUCUAGGGAGUUGGAAGAGGUGGGCUUGUCUGGAGGAUGGGGGGCACAUUAUAGCUCUCUGUCCUCUGUGGGUGCUCACAAGUAUCAGCUGGUGGCUGCUUGACCCCAUUUGUUUCUGGCUUCCAGGUGUCUUGGGAAGACAUCUGGUGUACCUAUGAAAAUCCUAACUACCACUGGUAAGAAACAUAUUUGAAUAAUGGGAGCCCAAUUAGCUCAUAUAGGGUCCUUGGAGCUGCAUGAAAUGUCCAUGGAUUCCCCUGUUACUGACAUACUGAUGACUAACUGUCCACCUCAUCUUCGGCACUCACCCCACUCCCCUGCUUGCCUCACAUAUCACACGCUAGGAAUAUUAAAGCAAAGAUCACAAUUGUUUUUGUAAAUGUAAUUUUUAGA
Molecule: non-coding RNA, 1143 nt
Organism: Callithrix jacchus (white-tufted-ear marmoset)
Lineage: Eukaryota; Metazoa; Chordata; Mammalia; Primates; Cebidae
Source: RefSeq, a predicted model, not a curated record